CCUACGGGAGGCUGCAGUGGGGAAUAUUGCACAAUGGGCGAAAGCCUGAUGCAGCAACGCCGCGUGAGCGAUGAAGGCCUUCGGGUCGUAAAGCUCUGUCCUCAGGGAAGAUAAUGACGGUACUUGAGGAGGAAGCCCCGGCUAACUACGUGCCAGCAGCCGCGGUAAUACGUAGGGGGCUAGCGUUAUCCGGAAUUACUGGGCGUAAAGGGUGCGUAGGUGGUUUCUUAAGUCAGAGGUGAAAGGCUAGGGCUCAACCGUAGUAAGCCUUUGAAACUGGGAAACUUGAGUGCAGGAGAGGAGAGUGGAAUUCCUAGUGUAGCGGUGAAAUGCAUAGAUAUUAGGAGGAACACCAGUUGCGAAGGCGGCUUUCUGGACUGUAACUGACACUGAGGCACGAAAGCGUGGGGAGCAAACAGGAUUAGAUACCCCAGUAGUC
RNAcentral lists this ribosomal RNA (439 nucleotides) under uncultured bacterium. RNAcentral's name for it is "partial 16S ribosomal RNA". It matches the Rfam family "Bacterial small subunit ribosomal RNA", at positions 338 to 795 of the family's 1533-position model. The record is from RNAcentral.